Molecule: ribosomal RNA, 1428 nt
Filed under: uncultured bacterium
Lineage: Bacteria
Description: bacterial SSU rRNA
Rfam family: Bacterial small subunit ribosomal RNA
Source: RNAcentral
AGAGUUUGAUCCUGGCUCAGGAUGAACGCUGGCGGUGUGGAUAAGGCAUGCAAGUCAAGGGGGCUCGCAAGAGCAACCGGCAGACGAAGUAGUAAUAGAUAGGUACGUCCCUUCGAGUCGGGCAUAGCUUGUCGAAAGUUAAGGUAAUUCCCGAUAGUCUCUACGGAGUAAAGAUUUUCGCUCGAAGAACGGCCUGUCCGGUAUCAGCUAGUUGGUGAGGUAAUGGCUCACCAAGGCUAUGACGCCUAGGGGACCUGAGAGGGUGACCCCCACUGAUGGAACUGAGAUACGGUCCAUACACCUACGGGUGGCUGCAGUCGAGAAUCUUCCACAAUGGGCGAAAGCCUGAUGGAGCGACACCGCGUGCAGGAUGAAGUCCUUCGGGAUGUAAACUGCUUUUAUGGGGGAGGAAAUUAUUGACGUUACCCCAAGAAUAAGAGGUUGCUAAACUCGUGCCAGCAGCAGCGGUGAUACGAGUGCCUCAAGCGUUAUCCGGAAUUAUUGGGCGUAAAGGGUGCGUAGGUGGUUAUGUUAGUCUUUUGUUAAAUUACUCGGCUUAACCGAGGACAUGCAGAGGAAACGGCAUAACUUGAGGAUGCGAGAGGUAUAUGGAACUCUAGGUGUAGCGGUGAAAUGCGUUGAUAUCUAGGGGAACACCAAAUGCGAAGGCAAUAUACUGGAGCAUUCCUGACACUGAGGCACGAAAGCGUGGGUAGCGAAUGGGAUUAGAUACCCCAGUAGUCCACGCCCUAAACGAUGAUCACUAGCUUUUUCGAGUAUCGACCCUCGAAGAGGCGUAGCUAACGCGUUAAGUGAUCCGCCUGGGUAGUACGGCCGCAAGGCUAAAACUCAAAGGAAUAGACGGGGACUUGCACAAGCGGAGGAACAUGUGGUUUAAUUCGAUGGUAAACGAAAAACCUUACCAGGGUUAGAAAUCUAGUUGAAGACGAGCAGAAACGUUCGUCGCCGCAAGGCAAUUAGACAGGUGCUGCAUGGUCGUCGUCAGUUCGUGGCUUGAGUUGUUCCCUUAAGUGGGGUAACGAACGCAACCCUCGUUGUCUGUUACAAGUGUCAGACGAGACUGCCCCUUUUCCAGGGGAGGAAGGUGGGGAUGACGCCAGAUCAGCAUGGCCCUCUGAUACCCUGGGCCACACACGUGUUACAAUGCCGUUUACAACGGGACGCGACGGGGAAACCCUGAGCAAAUCCUUAGAAAAAACGGCCAAGUUCGGAUUGAGGUCUGAAACUCGACCUCAUGAAGCUGGAUUCGCUAGUAAUCACAGGUCAGCCAUACUGUGGUGAAUACGUUCUCAAGUCUUGUACUCACCGCCCGUCAGCCCAAGGGAGCUGGGAAUACCCGAAGUCUGCGCUUGUCGCGGCCUAAGGUAAGCUCAGUGACAGGGGGUAAGUCGUAACAAGGUAACCGUA